AAGUAGUGUGACAUGCCCGUUCGUGUUUAACUCUGAUUAUUUAUUAUUAUUAUUAAGUUUGGGAUAACGAGGUGUUACAUUACC
MicroRNA precursor from Medicago truncatula (barrel medic), 84 nucleotides. It matches the Rfam family "MIR2617 microRNA precursor family". Lineage: Eukaryota; Viridiplantae; Streptophyta; Magnoliopsida; Fabales; Fabaceae. The record is from Rfam.